UACGGAAUGUGCAAACGUUAUUCGGAAUCACUGGGCUUAAAGAGUCCGUAGGCGGCAUGUUAGGUGAGGUGUGAAAUCCACCGGCUCAACCGAGGAAUUGCGCUUCAAACCGGCGUGCUUGAGGAAGAUAGAGGUGGGCGGAACUGAUGGUGGAGCGGUGAAAUGCGUUGAUAUCAUCAGGAACACCGGAGGCGAAGGCGGCCCACUGGGUCUUUUCUGACGCUGAGGGACGAAAGCUAGGGGAGCGAACGGG
This 253-nucleotide ribosomal RNA is filed under the name uncultured bacterium. Its description in RNAcentral is "partial 16S ribosomal RNA". It matches the Rfam family "Bacterial small subunit ribosomal RNA", at positions 524 to 776 of the family's 1533-position model. The record is from RNAcentral.